Molecule: ribosomal RNA, 253 nt
Filed under: uncultured bacterium
Lineage: Bacteria
Description: partial 16S ribosomal RNA
Rfam family: Bacterial small subunit ribosomal RNA
Source: RNAcentral
UACGGAGGGGACUAGCGUUGUUCGGAAUUACUGGGCGUAAAGCGCGCGUAGGCGGAUCGCUAAGUCAGGGGUGAAAUCCUGGGGCUCAACCCCAGAACUGCCUUUGAUACUGGCGAUCUCGAGUUCGAGAGAGGUGAGUGGAAUUCCGAGUGUAGAGGUGAAAUUCGUAGAUAUUCGGAGGAACACCAGUGGCGAAGGCGGCUCACUGGCUCGAUACUGACGCUGAGGUGCGAAAGCGUGGGGAGCAAACAGG